RNAcentral lists this long non-coding RNA (448 nucleotides) under Homo sapiens (human). RNAcentral's name for it is "novel transcript". The record is from RNAcentral. Lineage: Eukaryota; Metazoa; Chordata; Mammalia; Primates; Hominidae.
GUCAAUCUGCCUCUAUCCAUGGCAGCCCUUCUUAUUUUAAUGUUCUCACUCUUACCCACAAACUAAAUUUACAUUUCUUGCUGUUAUAAAUUUUAUAUUUUUGUGUGUGGAGAAACAUUCCAUCAAGAAGACUGAAGCCCAGUAAACUCCCAAAGACAAGACUUUCAGAAGGCUGCUUGCUUCACUAUGGGUCCUAAGGUUACACAGGAAGGCUUCUGCCAGACACUUUCUGCCAGGUUUCCAAUGGCAGGUAUGGUCAAGAGAGACACUGGAAGAUGGAAGUUACUUCAGUGUUCCAGUUGCUGGUGUAGCCAGGGCUUCACAGCGUGGAAGUAUGGCAUCAUGAUGUCUACUGCACAUCUAUUCCCAACCCCAUAUUCAGUUGUUUCAUGUAGUCUCUUGAAAUCUAUGGAAACUAGAAAACACUACAAAUAAAGCCUUGAUUUAU